UACGUAGGGUGCGAGCGUUAAUCGGAAUUACUGGGCGUAAAGCGUGCGCAGGCGGCGCGUUAAGACAGGUGUGAAAUCCCCGGGCUUAACCUGGGAACUGCAUUUGUGACUGCAUGGCUAGAGUACGGUAGAGGGGGAUGGAAUUCCGCGUGUAGCAGUGAAAUGCGUAGAUAUGCGGAGGAACGCCGAUGGCGAAGGCAGUCUCCUGGACCUGUACUGACGCUGAGACGCGAAAGCGUGGGGAGCAAACAGG
This 253-nucleotide ribosomal RNA is filed under the name uncultured bacterium. RNAcentral describes it as "partial 16S ribosomal RNA". It matches the Rfam family "Bacterial small subunit ribosomal RNA", at positions 524 to 776 of the family's 1533-position model. The record is from RNAcentral.